RNAcentral lists this ribosomal RNA (538 nucleotides) under Trigonopterus sp. 219 AR-2022a. RNAcentral describes it as "partial large subunit ribosomal RNA". Lineage: Eukaryota; Metazoa; Arthropoda; Insecta; Coleoptera; Curculionidae. The record is from RNAcentral.
GGCUUGUUGAUAAUAAUUUUAGGUYUGGUCUGCCCAAUGAGAGUUAUUAAAUGGCCGCGGUAUAUUGACCGUGCAAAGGUAGCAUAAUCAUUAGUUUUUUAAUUAGAAGCUGGAAUGAAGGGCUUGAUGAGAAAGGUUCUGUCUCUAGAAUAAUUUAUUAGAAUUUUAUUUUUAGGUUAAAAAGCUUAAAUUUAAAUGGAAGACGAGAAGACCCUAUAGAGUUUUAUAUUUGGAUUAGGGAAGUAUUUUAAGGUAAAUAUGGAAAAAUUUCUAUACUAAGUAUUUUGUUGGGGUGAUAGGAAAAUUAAUUUAACUUUUUUUUUGUAUUUUACAUUUAUUUAUGGAUGAAUGAUCCUUUUUGAGAUUGGAAGAUUAAAUUACCUUAGGGAUAACAGCGUAAUUUUUUUUAGAGUUCUUAUCGAAAAAAGGGAUUGCGACCUCGAUGUUGGAUUAAAAUAAAUUAUAGGUGAAGAAGCUUAUUAAUUAGGUCUGUUCGACCUUUAAAUUUUUACAUGAUCUGAGUUUAAACCGGUGUGAG